UGGCGGCAGGCUUAACACAUGCAAGUCGAACGCUCGUGGCAACACGGGAGUGGCGGACGGGUGAGUAACGCGUGGGAACGUGCCCUGAGGUUGGGAAUAACUGCGGGAAACUGCAGCUAAUACCUGAUGCGCCCCGAGAGGGGGAAAGAUUUAUCGCCUUGGGAGCGGCCCGCGUCGGAUUAGCUAGUUGGUGGGGUAACGGCCUACCAAGGCUUCGAUCCGUAGCUGGUCUGAGAGGACGAUCAGCCACACUGGGACUGAGACACGGCCCAGACUCCUACGGGAGGCAGCAGUGGGGAAUCUUGCGCAAUGGGGGCAACCCUGACGCAGNCAUGCCGCGUGAAUGAUGAAGGCCUUAGGGUUGUAAAGCUC
Molecule: ribosomal RNA, 372 nt
Filed under: uncultured bacterium
Lineage: Bacteria
Description: bacterial SSU rRNA
Rfam family: Bacterial small subunit ribosomal RNA
Source: RNAcentral